Molecule: long non-coding RNA, 413 nt
Filed under: Cercocebus atys (sooty mangabey)
Lineage: Eukaryota; Metazoa; Chordata; Mammalia; Primates; Cercopithecidae
Description: lncRNA (ENSCATG00000045645.1)
Source: RNAcentral
CAGCCUCGGCUGGACUACUUCCUCCCCAGAGGCCCUUCACCGCCUCCCCAUCCAGACCCAAGGUUCCCUAGUGGUCCGGACGGUUUCCUUGGCAUCGCUGGCACCAGGCCCACCACAGCUGCCAAACAUGAGCUGAUGGGACAGCCCUCGUGGUCUCCACCCACUGCCCUGGUGGAGAAGUGAAACAUGAACCCAUCAGUGCAAGACAGAGGAAGAGGCACCCAGCGAAGAGCAAGCGAUGUGGAAUUCUAAGGCCAAAGUCACCCUGAUUGUAUGGUGUGGAUUAGUCAAGAACCCAAGAUGACCCAAGGAUUUGAGAUUCCAACCUCCCGCAGGCAAGCAGAAGUGCUCCCUCCUACAUAGGGCCGCCCUCCUUCCUGAGAAACUGGGCUGAUUUGUGGAAGAAACAGCUG